Molecule: non-coding RNA, 83 nt
Organism: Coprinopsis sp. MPI-PUGE-AT-0042
Lineage: Eukaryota; Fungi; Basidiomycota; Agaricomycetes; Agaricales; Psathyrellaceae
Source: the annotation of a GenBank genome assembly
UCCGAUAUGGUGUAACGGCUAACAUUACCGCCUUUCACCGCUUGUGAGCGCGGUAGCUCGGGGUUCGAUUCCCCGUAUCGGAA